RNA transcript from Zingiber officinale, 1879 nucleotides. RefSeq lists it as uncharacterized. Lineage: Eukaryota; Viridiplantae; Streptophyta; Magnoliopsida; Zingiberales; Zingiberaceae. The record is from RefSeq and is a predicted model, not a curated record. The transcript is spliced from 6 exons.
CGCAGAUGCGGAUAAACCGGAGAUGAGCGCGGCCGAGAAGUAAUCGGUGAGUGGAGAGUUGGGGGCUGAAGGUGGAAGGAAAGAGGGGGCGGAAGGAGGGCGGAGUUGGGAGGAGCUUCGAUCGAAGUCAGCAGCGUGGCUGCCAUGUCUGCUGGGAUCUGCGGGAAGCGUCUAGGGUUGGAGGAAUUUUUCGGAUCUCCAGCUUCGCCGCCUCCGUCGGCCAAGAGAUCGCGCUGCGGACGCUACGGAUCUGAGGAUUUACUCUCAGUGCUCCUCCGCAUGUUCCCUUCCAUGGAUCGGGAGGUUGUUGAAACAGUUCUGAAUUCUCAUGAUCACAAAAUUGACAAUGCCAUCAAGAGUCUCAAUGCUUUGUGCCUCGGUGAUGGUUCCGUGAGUCUUGAAGGAGUUAACUCGAUCUUAAAAUCGAGUGCUCUGGAAGGUGCUUCGAGGUCUCAGGCAUUUGAAGAUAAGGUUGGGUUCUCUCAGAAUGGCGUAGGUUCUCAACCUGUAGAGUCCCAAAAUGGAUCUUCUUGGGUAGAUUUAUUUGUACAGGAAAUGAUGGAUGCUGCGGAUUGGGAUGACGUUCGAAGUCGUGCUAUGAAGAUCCUGGAAGUAUUUAAAGGAGAUGUUGUUACCCGCACCUCGACCGCCAUGGAGAACGAGAACAAUUCCUCGAAAGAACAACUGCAAUGUUUAUUGAGAGAGAACCAAAUCCUAAAGAAAGCUGUUGCAGUCCAGCAUGAGCGGAAUACAGAGAAUGAGGAGAAGAUUAAGGAGGUGCAACAUUUGAAGCAUGUGAUUGGCCAGUAUGAAGAACAAGUCCGGGCACUGGAGAUGAGUAAUUAUACAUUGAUGGUACAUCUUCAGAGAGCACAAGAUGCCAGUUCCAAUAUCGACAUGUGAACAUUGCGUGACCAUUUUAGCGAAGGAGACUCCCUUUACGUGACAAGUAAUCGGAAUAGGGACAAAUCAUCGAACAGACAGUUGUCGAAAAAUUGUUACGGAGAAUCCACCAAAUUGAAAAACAAAGCACAACAGAUGAUACUAUCAAAAGAAUUCAGUUGAUUCGAGAGAAAUGGAAAACACACACACCUAUUUAAUCUGGUGGAGGAUGACAGUAGGGAUUACACUUCAAUAAUGUUCUGGUGCCCUUCACACUUCUGUGAACAAUUGAUGAACAACGUCAUUCUCUUUCUUCAUGACUUCUUGCCAACUGCUCCAUAAAUUACACGACAGACGUCACAGAACAAGACAAAACCACGACCAACUCUCUUUCUCUCCUCUCCAUCUCCCUUCCUAGUGUGCCCGCAAACCAGCCAUGGAGAUUACGGAUCCAGCCACUCCUCGUCGGCUCUACAACAAACCGGAUCAAGAGAGCUGCGGCGGCGGCAACGUCGACGGCCGGAGCAGUGCUAAUAGCUCCUCUCGCUCCUUCGACUGCACCUUCUGCAAGAGAGGGUUCUCCAACGCGCAAGCCCUCGGAGGCCACAUGAACUUGCACCGCAAGGGCAAGACCAGGCUCAACUCCUCCUCUCCUUGCGCCCAAUUCCCUUUCGACGUUGCUGUCGCCGCCGCCGACGGAAUCGCUUGCAUGUCACCCUCUUCUCGAGCGUCGAAGAGCCUCGGCGAGGAUGAAGUGGAGAAGAAGGGGAUGUCCGGCGUGGUGGACGCAGAAUUGGAUCUUGAGCUCCGGCUGGGCCGGUGACGACAAAGUUCAAGAGCAGCGGAGAGUUAUUGUAAUGGUGAGGAAGUAUGCAACUGUUCAUCGAUAUAACGCGGGAAUAAUUAAUACAUGAAUCACCAACACUUGAUACUGGCCGUGAUCAUCCUGUUUGUUUUUAAAAAUAAUUUUUUUAAUAAAAGGAAAAAAUUCAGUCGA